UCUAACAUCGAACGAAUCUUUAAAUGACUUUGGCAUUAUUCUAAAACAAAUUAAUUUAGAGGAAACUGGAAACGCGUGCAAUGUUUGUGUUAAUAAGCUAAAUAGACUUCGAUCAUUUGACAAAAAAAUAGAGUGCCUGGAAAUCGAAAAAAGUGAACUUCUACAAACAAUAAAAUCCCUGCCAGGGGCGGUUGCGAAAAGCAAAGGUGGCAAUGUUACGCCACAUGGUUCAAAGAAAGUGAAACGUGCUCUUGAGUCUUCACCUUCAGGUUUGACUCCCAAGAGCAAAAGGACGCUAUUUAGAACACCAAGAAAACCAACCGUAUUCGCUACUAGUACUACCGGCGAAAAAUCACUGAAGGUAGAUGCAUCAACGAGUACAUGUACCAACACACUUCCGACUAGAAGAAAGUUUGAUGUCAAGGUAACAGUGAUGUAUAAUUCAACUGAAAGAUGUAAAAUCAUAACUGAUAGUGCAGAACAGACUGCAAUCAAAGCCAUGAUGAAUGGAAAAGGACCAGAAACAGUAUUGAAACAGCUGUCAAAAUGUAGUAAAUACAGGUCAGCAAUGGCAAAAUGUGUUAGCAAGGACAUAAUACAAGAAGU
Molecule: long non-coding RNA, 606 nt
Organism: Dreissena polymorpha
Lineage: Eukaryota; Metazoa; Mollusca; Bivalvia; Myida; Dreissenidae
Exons: 3
Source: RefSeq, a predicted model, not a curated record